UUAUUUGCAUUUAUUUGCAUUUAUUUGAACUUUUAUAUAUUUUGAAACAAACACUACAGAUGUAAAAUUUAGUGAUUGUAUAAAUAUUUUAGAUUGACAUAAGUUUGCUACUAAAGGCGUUAAAAAAACAAUCUAAUGUUCAAAGUCAGUCAAAUCAAAGAAUUUCGACAAUUUGAAAUAUCAAAUGAGUGUGUAAAAACAAAUUGUUAAAAAAACCAAAAAUUAUAUAUUAGUUAAUUCUUAAUAAUAAUGUCAUGUAAUUAGAAAAUAAAUGUUCUAUUAAAAGAAAAAGAAAACCUAAUAUUGGCCUAAAAUAUUUAAUUGUUAUUUAGAAUAUUUUUCAUUAUUUAAAUUAUUUAAAAAAGAGACAGAUUUUUGAAAGAUACAAAGUUAGACGCUGAUAAUAUAUUUUUAAAAUUAAUUCUAAUAAGUUGUCAAGAAAGAUGCCUUUGUAAGAUUCUAUGUUUAUUUGCAUUGUGUCUUUUCCGUAUUUUCAGAAGUUAUGUGAGGUUUCGUGUGAAUUUUUUUGAAAUUUUUGAAAGGUACAUAUCACAAUAAACAAGUGCAUCUACAAUGUUCAUUUUAUAACCAUCUUUUCCCGUACACUAUUAAAAACAAAAUAGAGUUAAUUACAAAGCAAAAAGACAUGAUACGUCAGAGAAUUAUUAUAAGUAUAUGAACAUUUUUAUUUAGAACCUUGUUGUGGGAAGGUAAACAUAUUUCUUUUAUGUUCUUGAUUGUACAGAACUCAACCACUUUCAAAAAAUGGGACUUUUAUGACCAUUUAAAUAGAGUAAUUUUGUUGAUCGCUUUUGAAAUGCUUUAAAUAAUCAAAAAAUAAAUUAUUGAUAA
Long non-coding RNA from Hydra vulgaris (swiftwater hydra), 852 nucleotides. RefSeq lists it as uncharacterized. The record is from RefSeq and is a predicted model, not a curated record. NCBI's taxonomy places the organism in Eukaryota, Metazoa, Cnidaria, Hydrozoa, Anthoathecata, Hydridae.